UCCCCAAUAGCUCAGUCGGUAGAGCGCGUGACUGUUAAUCACGAUGUCGUUGGUUCGAGUCCAACUUGGGGAGCCA
This 76-nucleotide transfer RNA is filed under the name Oscillospiraceae bacterium. RNAcentral describes it as "tRNA-Asn". It matches the Rfam family "tRNA". Rfam says of the family: Transfer RNA (tRNA) molecules are approximately 80 nucleotides in length. Their secondary structure includes four short double-helical elements and three loops (D, anti-codon, and T loops). The record is from RNAcentral. Lineage: Bacteria; Bacillati; Bacillota; Clostridia; Eubacteriales; Oscillospiraceae.